CCCUUAGAUGUUCUGGGCCGCACGCGCGCUACACUGUUCGACGCAGCGAGUCUUAACCUUGACCGAAAGGUUUGGGUAAUCUUCAGCAAAGUCGAACGUGAUGGGGAUCGAUCAUCGCAAUUAUUGAUCGUGAACGAGGAAUUCCUAGUAAGUGCAAGUCAUCAGCUUGCGCUGAUUACGUCCCUGCCCUUUGUACACACCGCCCGUCGCUACUACCGAUUGAAUGGUUUAGUGAGAUCUCUGGAUUGACGCUGGCUAGGGGGCGACCCUUGGCCAGACUGCUCGAGAAACUGCUCAAACUUGAUCAUUUAGAGGAAGUAAAAGUCGUAACA
RNAcentral lists this ribosomal RNA (332 nucleotides) under uncultured eukaryote. Its description in RNAcentral is "partial 18S ribosomal RNA". It matches the Rfam family "Eukaryotic small subunit ribosomal RNA", at positions 1470 to 1796 of the family's 1831-position model. The record is from RNAcentral.